RNAcentral lists this ribosomal RNA (308 nucleotides) under uncultured bacterium. Its description in RNAcentral is "partial 16S ribosomal RNA". It matches the Rfam family "Bacterial small subunit ribosomal RNA", at positions 505 to 807 of the family's 1533-position model. The record is from RNAcentral.
GAGACAGCAGUCGCCGCGGGAAUACAGAGGGUGCGAGCGUUAAUCGGAUUUACUGGGCGUAAAGCGUGCGUAGGCGGCUAAUUGAGUCGGAUGUGAAAUCCUCGAGCUUAACUUGGGAAUUGCAUUCGAUACUGGUUAGCUAGAGUGUGGGAGAGGAUGGUAGAAUUCCAGGUGUAGCGGUGAAAUGCGUAGAGAUCUGGAGGAAUACCGAUGGCGAAGGCAGCCAUCUGGCCUAACACUGACGCUGAGGUACGAAAGCAUGGGGAGCAAACAGGAUUAGAUACCCCCGUAGUCCCUGUCUCUUAUAC